This 366-nucleotide ribosomal RNA is filed under the name uncultured eukaryote. RNAcentral's name for it is "partial 18S ribosomal RNA". It matches the Rfam family "Eukaryotic small subunit ribosomal RNA", at positions 592 to 976 of the family's 1831-position model. The record is from RNAcentral.
CGCAAGUGUAUUCCUAUACUGUUGCGUUUAAAUAGCUCGUAGUUGGAUCUGCGUGUUUAGCGCGCGGUGCUGCUUUCUUGCAGCUACUGUGACGCGACACUGUACGCUGACUGCAUACUUCGUAAGUACGUAGUCAGCAAGUUUACUUUGAACAAAUCAGAGUGCUCAAAACGGGCGUUUCGCUCGAAUGUUCUUGCAUGGAAUAAUGGAAUAGGACCUUGCGUUCUAUUUUGUUGGUUUUCGGGACGCGGGUAAUGAUUAAGAGGGACAGACGGGGGCAUUUGUACUGCGACGUGAGAGGUGAAAUUCUUGGAUCGUCGGAUGACGCACUACUGCGAAAGCAUUUGCCAAGAAUGUUUUCAUUAA